This 256-nucleotide ribosomal RNA is filed under the name uncultured bacterium. RNAcentral's name for it is "partial 16S ribosomal RNA". It matches the Rfam family "Bacterial small subunit ribosomal RNA", at positions 526 to 779 of the family's 1533-position model. The record is from RNAcentral.
CGGAAGGUCCGGGCGUUAUCCGGAUUUAUUGGGUUUAAAGGGGAGCGUAGGCCGCCUCUUAAGCGUGUUGUGAAAUGCGGGUGCUCAACAUCCGACUUGCAGCGCGAACUGGGGGGCUUGAGUGCGCCGAAAGUAGGCGGAAUUCGUGGUGUAGCGGUGAAAUGCUUAGAUAUCACGAAGAACUCCGAUUGCGAAGGCAGCUUACUGUAGCGCAACUGACGCUGAUGCUCGAAAGCGUGGGGUAUCGAACAGGAUU